UCAGAUGGCCGGAUGGCCGCUGUCUUGCGCAAGCAGGGCAGAGGAAAGUCCGGGCUCCACGGAAACACGGUGCCGGAUAAUGACCGGCGGGGGCGACCCCAGGGAAAGUGCCACAGAGAACAGACCGCCUGUGUUUGACGCAGGUAAGGGUGAAACGGUGCGGUAAGAGCGCACCGCGCGACCGGUAACGGGAGCGGCAUGGCAAACCCCACCGGGAGCAAGACCAAAUAGGGGCGGCACGCCGGAUGCAAAUCCGGUAAACCUGUUUCCGGGAUGCUGCCCGGGUUGGUUGCACGAGGCGCUUGGUAACAGGCGUCCCAGAUGAAUGGUCAUCGCCCGCAAGGGUACAGAACCCGGCUUACAGGCCAUCUGACAUA
RNAcentral lists this RNase P RNA (377 nucleotides) under Parvibaculum sp. RNAcentral's name for it is "RNase P RNA component class A". It matches the Rfam family "Bacterial RNase P class A". From Rfam's summary of the family: Ribonuclease P (RNase P) is a ubiquitous endoribonuclease, found in archaea, bacteria and eukarya as well as chloroplasts and mitochondria. Its best characterised activity is the generation of mature 5'-ends of tRNAs by cleaving the 5'-leader elements of precursor-tRNAs. The record is from RNAcentral. Lineage: Bacteria; Pseudomonadati; Pseudomonadota; Alphaproteobacteria; Hyphomicrobiales; Parvibaculaceae.